This 232-nucleotide ribosomal RNA is filed under the name uncultured bacterium. RNAcentral describes it as "partial 16S ribosomal RNA". It matches the Rfam family "Bacterial small subunit ribosomal RNA", at positions 99 to 334 of the family's 1533-position model. The record is from RNAcentral.
CGGACGGGUGAGUAAUGUCUGGGAAACUGCCCGAUGGAGGGGGAUAACUACUGGAAACGGUAGCUAAUACCGCAUAACGUCGCAAGACCAAAGAGGGGGACCUUCGGGCCUCUUGCCAUCGGAUGUGCCCAGAUGGGAUUAGCUAGUAGGUGGGGUAACGGCUCACCUAGUCGACGAUCCCUAGCUGGUCUGAGAGGAUGACCAGCCACACUGGAACUGAGACACGGUCCAG